GGGGCACGAACCGGAUUAGAUACCCGGGUAGUCCCAGCUGUAAACGAUGCUCGCUAGGUGUCAGGUGCGGUGCGACCGCAUCUGGUGCCGUAGUGAAAACUUGAAGCGAGUCACCUGGGAAGUACGGUCGCAAGGCUGAAACUUAAAGGAAUUGGCGGGGGAGCACUACAACGGGUGGAGCCUGCGGUUCAAUUGGAUUCAACGCCGGAAAGCUUACCGGGUCAGACAGCAAUAUGAAGGUCAAGCUAAAGACUUUACCGAAUUCGCUGAGAGGAGGUGCAUGGCCGUCGUCAGUUCGUAUCGUGAGACAUCCUGUUAAGUCAGGCAACGAGCAAGACCCGUGCCCACAGUUGCCAGCAUACCCUCCGGGGUGAUGGGCACACUGUGGGGACCGCCGCUGCUAAAGCGGAGGAAGGUGCGGGCUACGGU
This 429-nucleotide ribosomal RNA is filed under the name uncultured bacterium. RNAcentral's name for it is "bacterial SSU rRNA". It matches the Rfam family "Archaeal small subunit ribosomal RNA", at positions 714 to 1142 of the family's 1478-position model. The record is from RNAcentral.